CACAAUGGGCUCCCGAUCAUGAUAUGGGCUUUUGGAGGAGAUCCACUGAUACAUCUGUGCAACUCCCAUUGAAAUCAAUGAAAACUUAUAUUUCAGGAAGGGAUUAAACAGCACAAGUGCUGCUGGCAUAAUUAUACAAGCAGGCAGAAGCCAUGUAAAGACUGGGAAGAAAAUGUGUCUAAAAAGUUCCUGCAGCCCCAUGGGAACAAAAGAUAUCAAUCUAACCUUCAAGCAAAAGGGAUCGAAUGCCACCUAUGGUACAGCCAAGUGUGCAGCCAACCAACCACAUGCUCAGCUGGCUUUGAUGGGUCUGUAUGGAGUGUAUGUCCAUGCCAGAUUUGACCUGAAGCAUUUAGAAGAGGAACUAAGCGGCUAUAAUACCACUGAAGAAAAGGGGAAUUGCAGGGACCUCGAUGGAAAGUAGCUGCCUGAAACACAAGCCAAACUUCAUGGAGAUGAUCCUUGU
This is a long non-coding RNA of Emys orbicularis (European pond turtle), 466 nucleotides long. RefSeq lists it as uncharacterized. The record is from RefSeq and is a predicted model, not a curated record. The transcript is spliced from 3 exons. NCBI's taxonomy places the organism in Eukaryota, Metazoa, Chordata, Testudines, Emydidae.